RNAcentral lists this ribosomal RNA (500 nucleotides) under uncultured Ascomycota. RNAcentral describes it as "eukaryotic LSU rRNA". The stretch from base 158 to 311 matches the Rfam family "5.8S ribosomal RNA". Lineage: Eukaryota; Fungi; Ascomycota. The record is from RNAcentral.
AGGGAUCAUUACUGAGUGAGGGCCUUCGGGCUCGACCUCCAACCCUUUGUGAACACAACUUGUUGCUUCGGGGGCGACCCUGCCGUUUCGACGGCGAGCGCCCCCGGAGGCCUUCAAACACUGCAUCUUUGCGUCGGAGUUUAAGUAAAUUAAACAAAACUUUCAACAACGGAUCUCUUGGUUCUGGCAUCGAUGAAGAACGCAGCGAAAUGCGAUAAGUAAUGUGAAUUGCAGAAUUCAGUGAAUCAUCGAAUCUUUGAACGCACAUUGCGCCCCUUGGUAUUCCGAGGGGCAUGCCUGUUCGAGCGUCAUUUCACCACUCAAGCCUCGCUUGGUAUUGGGCGCCGCGGUGUUCCGCGCGCCUCAAAGUCUCCGGCUGAGCUGUCCGUCUCUAAGCGUUGUGAUUUCAUUAAUCGCUUCGGAGCGCGGGCGGUCGCGGCCGUUAAAUCUUUCACAAGGUUGACCUCGGAUCAGGUAGGGAUACCCGCUGAACUUAAGCA